CGACGGGGAGGUUUGGCACCUCGAUGUCGGCUCAUCACAUCCUGGGGCUGUAGCAGGUCCCAAGGGUAUGGCUGUUCGCCAUUUAAAGUGGUACGCGAGCUGGGUUCAGAACGUCGUGAGACAGUUCGGUCCCUAUCUGCCAUGGGCGUUGGAAAUUUGAGGGUGAGUUGCUCCUAGUACGAGAGGACCGGAGUGAACGUACCUCUGGUGUUCCGGUUGUCACGCCAGUGGCAUUGCCGGGUAGCUAUGUACGGACGGGAUAACCGCUGAAGGCAUCUAAGCGGGAAGCCCCCCCCAAGAUAAGAUUUCCCUGGGGACUUGAUCCCCCUGAAGGGCCGUCGAAGACUACGACGUUGAUAGGCUGGGUGUGGAAGCGCGGCAACGCGUGUAGCUAACCAGUACUAAUUGCCCGUGCGGCUUGACCAU
RNAcentral lists this ribosomal RNA (426 nucleotides) under Chromatiales bacterium. Its description in RNAcentral is "partial 23S ribosomal RNA". It matches the Rfam family "Bacterial large subunit ribosomal RNA", at positions 2506 to 2925 of the family's 2925-position model. The record is from RNAcentral. Lineage: Bacteria; Pseudomonadati; Pseudomonadota; Gammaproteobacteria; Chromatiales.